AUUCUGGUUGAUCCUACCAGUAAUGUACGCUCGUCUCAAAGGUUAAGCCAUGCAUGUCUAAGUACAUACUAAAAUAAAGUGAAACCGCAAAAGGCUCAGUAUAACAGCUGUAAUUUCUUAGAUCAUAUUCCCAGUACUUGGAUAACUGUGGAAAAUCUAGAGCUAAUACAUGCA
RNAcentral lists this ribosomal RNA (174 nucleotides) under Chironomus aprilinus. RNAcentral describes it as "partial 18S ribosomal RNA". It matches the Rfam family "Eukaryotic small subunit ribosomal RNA", at positions 1 to 175 of the family's 1831-position model. RNAcentral also lists the same sequence under 2 other names. The record is from RNAcentral. Lineage: Eukaryota; Metazoa; Arthropoda; Insecta; Diptera; Chironomidae.